Molecule: ribosomal RNA, 464 nt
Filed under: uncultured Pelotomaculum sp.
Lineage: Bacteria; Bacillati; Bacillota; Clostridia; Eubacteriales; Desulfotomaculaceae
Description: bacterial SSU rRNA
Rfam family: Bacterial small subunit ribosomal RNA
Source: RNAcentral
CCCGCACAAGCGGUGGAGCAGUGUGGUUUAAUUCGACGCAACGCGAAGAACCUUACCAGGCUUGACAUCCCCUGACCGCGUAUGAAAGUACGUUUUCACCUUCGGGAGACAGGGAGACAGGUGGUGCAUGGUUGUCGUCAGCUCGUGUCGUGAGAUGUUGGGUUAAGUCCCGCAACGAGCGCAACCCCUACGUUUAGUUGCUAACGCGUGAAGGCGAGCACUCUAGACGAACUGCCGUUGACAAAACGGAGGAAGUGGGGAUGACGUCAAAUCAUCAUGCCCCUUAUGUUCUGGGCUACACACGUGCUACAAUGGCCGGUACAGACGGACGCAAAGCCGCGAGGCGGAGCAAAUCCGAAAAAGCCGGUCCCAGUUCGGAUUGGAGUCUGCAACUCGACUCCAUGAAGUUGGAAUCGCUAGUAAUCGUGGAUCAGCACGCCACGGUGAAUACGUUCCCGGGCCUU